Non-coding RNA from Balearica regulorum gibbericeps (East African grey crowned-crane), 241 nucleotides. Lineage: Eukaryota; Metazoa; Chordata; Aves; Gruiformes; Gruidae. The record is from the annotation of a RefSeq genome assembly.
UCCGGCUUCACCUUCAGCAGCACCCAGAUGGUUUGGGUGCGACAGGCGUCCGGGAAGGUGCUUGAGGUCAUUGUGGGUAUUUGGAGUGAUGGCAGCAGCCCAAGCUACGCGUCGUCGGUCAAAGGGCGCUUCACCAUCUCCAGGGCCCACUCCCAGAGCACGCUCAACAAGCUGCAGAUGAACAGCCUCAGGGCCGACGACACGGCCACCUACUACUGCGCGAAAGCUGAUGGUUAUUGUG